AUUGAACGCUGGCGGCAGGCCUAACACAUGCAAGUCGAGCGGUAGCACAUAGAGCUUGCUCUCGGGUGACGAGCGGCGGACGGGUGAGUAAUGUCUGGGAAACUGCCUGAUGGAGGGGGAUAACUACUGGAAACGGUAGCUAAUACCGCAUAACGUCCCAAGACCAAAGUGGGGGACCUUCGGGCCUCAUGCCAUCAGAUGUGCCCAGAUGGGAUUAGCUAGUAGGUGGGGUAAUGGCUCACCUAGGCGACGAUCCCUAGCUGGUCUGAGAGGAUGACCAGCCACACUGGAACUGAGACACGGUCCAGACUCCUACGGGAGGCAGCAGUGGGGAAUAUUGCACAAUGGGCGCAAGCCUGAUGCAGCCAUGCCGCGUGUGUGAAGAAGGCUUUCGGGUUGUAAAGCACUUUCAGCGGGGAGGAAGGCGAUAAGGUUAAUAACCUCAUCGAUUGACGUUACCCGCAGAAGAAGCACCGGCUAACUCCGUGCCAGCAGCCGCGGUAAUACCGAGGGUGCAAGCGUUAAUCGGAAUUACUGGGCGUAAAGCGCACGCAAGCGGUCUGUCAAGUCUGAUGUGAAUCCCCGGGCUCAACCUGGGAACUGCAUUCGAAACUGGCAGGCUAGAGUCUUGUAGAGGGGGGUAGAAUUCCAGGUGUAGCGGUGAAAUGCGUAGAGAUCUGGAGGAAUACCGGUGGCGAAGGCGGCCCCCUGGACAAAGACUGACGCUCAGGUGCGAAAGCGUGGGGAGCAAGCAGGAUUAGAUACCCUGGUAGUCCACGCCGUAAACGAUGUCGAUUUGGAGGUUGUGCCCUUGAGGCGUGGCUUCCGGAGCUAACGCGUUAAAUCGACCGCCUGGGGAGUACGGCCGCAAGGUUAAAACUCAAAUGAAUUGACGGGGGCCCGCACAAGCGGUGGAGCAUGUGGUUUAAUUCGAUGCAACGCGAAGAACCUUACCUGGUCUUGACAUCCACAGAACUUUCCAGAGAUGGAUUGGUGCCUUCGGGAACUGUGAGACAGGUGCUGCAUGGCUGUCGUCAGCUCGUGUUGUGAAAUGUUGGGUUAAGUCCCGCAACGAGCGCAACCCUUAUCCUUUGUUGCCAGCGGUCCGGCCGGGAACUCAAAGGAGACUGCCAGUGAUAAACUGGAGGAAGGUGGGGAUGACGUCAAGUCAUCAUGGCCCUUACGACCAGGGCUACACACGUGCUACAAUGGCAUAUACAAAGAGAAGCGACCUCGCGAGAGCAAGCGGACCUCAUAAAGUAUGUCGUAGUCCGGAUUGGAGUCUGCAACUCGACUCCAUGAAGUCGGAAUCGCUAGUAAUCGUAGAUCAGAAUGCUACGGUGAAUACGUUCCCGGGCCU
This 1360-nucleotide ribosomal RNA is filed under the name uncultured bacterium. Its description in RNAcentral is "bacterial SSU rRNA". It matches the Rfam family "Bacterial small subunit ribosomal RNA", at positions 28 to 1381 of the family's 1533-position model. The record is from RNAcentral.